This 657-nucleotide ribosomal RNA is filed under the name uncultured bacterium. RNAcentral's name for it is "bacterial SSU rRNA". It matches the Rfam family "Bacterial small subunit ribosomal RNA", at positions 59 to 716 of the family's 1533-position model. The record is from RNAcentral.
AAGUCGAACGAAGCGCUUGAGAUUGAUUCUUCGGAAGAUUUCUCUUGUGACUUAGUGGCGGACGGGUGAGUAACGCGUGGGUAACCUGCCUCACACAGGGGGAUAACAGUUGGAAACGACCGCUAAUACCGCAUAACCCGCUAGGGCCGCAUGGCCUGGACGGAAAAGAUUUAUCGGUGUGAGAUGGACCCGCGUUGGAUUAGCUAGUUGGCAGGGUAACGGCCUACCAAGGCGACGAUCCAUAGCCGGCCUGAGAGGGUGAACGGCCACAUUGGGACUGAGACACGGCCCAAACUCCUACGGGAGGCAGCAGUGGGGAAUAUUGCACAAUGGGGGAAACCCUGAUGCAGCGACGCCGCGUGAGUGAAGAAGUAUUUCGGUAUGUAAAGCUCUAUCAGCAGGGAAGAAAAUGACGGUACCUGACUAAGAAGCCCCGGCUAACUACGUGCCAGCAGCCGCGGUAAUACGUAGGGGGCAAGCGUUAUCCGGAUUUACUGGGUGUAAAGGGAGCGUAGACGGUUAAGCAAGUCAGAAGUGAAAGGCUGGGGCUCAACCCCGGGACUGCUUUUGAAACUGUUUAACUAGAGUGCUGGAGAGGUAAGCGGAAUUCCUAGUGUAGCGGUGAAAUGCGUAGAUAUUAGGAGGAACACCAGUGGC